Unclassified non-coding RNA from Erinaceus europaeus (western European hedgehog), 314 nucleotides. Its record names the gene 7SK. It matches the Rfam family "7SK RNA". From Rfam's summary of the family: 7SK was discovered as an abundant small nuclear RNA in the mid-70s but a possible function has only recently been suggested. Two independent studies have found that 7SK RNA binds the CDK9/cyclin T complex (known as elongation factor P-TEFb). NCBI's taxonomy places the organism in Eukaryota, Metazoa, Chordata, Mammalia, Eulipotyphla, Erinaceidae. The record is from Ensembl.
GGAUGUGAGGGCAAUCUGGCUGCGACAUCUGUCACCCCAUUGAUCGCCAGGGUUAAUUCGGCUGAGCUGGCUGGCUAGGUGGGUGUCCCCUUCCUCCCUCACCACUCCAUAUGCGUCCCUCCGGAAGCUGCACACUCAGUCAAAAAGGACGGCCUUCCCCGAAUAGAGACAGACCGGUCCUCGAGGGUAUACGAGUAGCUGUGCUCCCCUGCUAGAACCUCCAAACAAGCUCUCAAGAAGUGUGUAUUUUGGGAGUCCCGCGGUAGCGCAGCCGGUUAAGCGUAAAGCACAAGGACCAGCAUAAUGAUCCGGGU